Molecule: long non-coding RNA, 645 nt
Filed under: Zea mays
Lineage: Eukaryota; Viridiplantae; Streptophyta; Magnoliopsida; Poales; Poaceae
Description: long non-coding RNA (ZMAY_LNC002033)
Source: RNAcentral
GUGGCUAGGGUUAGCCGCCCGCAUCGCUCGCCGCUCACGCCGCUCUACUCCCUGCUCGCGGCAUCGCUCUGCUCCUUGCUCGCGGCAUCGCUCUGCAUCACCGACGACUCCCUGUUCCUGGCCGACUGCUCACGCCGCUCUGCUCCCUGUUCCUGGCCGACGGCGGCGACAACGGCGAGGUGAGAUGAUGAUUUUGGUGAGGCAGAUUCAUCCGCCGUUGAUCGCUCUGCUCUGAAUCGCUAGAUUUGGGCUGGCUAGUCUGUGAGAGGCAGAGAGAGACACUAGUUUUUCGCUAGUAAAAUUAUGGUGUUGUUUACAGCUACGGUGUUGUUUACAACUAUGGUAGAUAUGUUAAGACCUGGACAGGAAAACUUAGUGGCAUGGGCUGGCUCUCUUCUGACAAGCAGGGAUGGUCUGGAAUCAAUCGUAGAUCAUUCACUUGGGAGCAGCAUUCAAUUUGACAGCAUCGCAAAAGUAGCAGUCAUUGCUUCUAUGUGUGCUCAGCCAUUGCGCAUAUAAUGUCAAUGAUGUUAGACUUGUUAAUGUCAGACAACGAAAGAUGGUUCUUUGGUCACUACGAAAGUGACAACGAAAGAUGGGCUGGCUAGUCUGUGAGAGGCAGAGAGAUACACUAGUUUUUCGCUC